AUGAGCGACGCCUCCGCCGCCGGCCAGGGCGCCCUGGGCGCCUCCUCGUCCGGCGACGCUUCGUCGCCGGCGCCCUUAACCAUCCACAACGUGGACAUCCUCACCCACGUCCCCGCCAAGCUAGACUUCGACGCCGACAACUACGCCGAGUGGAGGGACGGCAUGCUCUCCGCGCUCGCCGAGUUCGGCGCCGUCGACCACGUCGAGGAGGAGCAGGCCCACUCCCUGCACGACGGAGACGAGGAGUGGAUGCGUGCCGACGUCACCAUCGUCCUCUGGAUCUACACCACCAUCUCCGACGAGCUGCUGGACGAGGUCAUGGCCGCCCACAGCACCGCCUUCGAGGUCUGGGCCCAGCUGCGCGGCUUCUUCGAGGACGAGGGCGCGUUCGACCCCGCCGAGGAGCUCCGCACCGCCGCGCAGGGGGACAUGUCUGUCAACGCCUACGGCUGGCGCCUCAAGGCGCUGGCCCGGGCCGUCGCCGACGCCGGUGGUGAGCCCGUCUCCGACACUGCGCUGGCCCUGCAGCUGCUCCGCGGGGUUACCCCCAGGCUCCGAGUCAUGGGCACCUCCUUGCUCGUCAAUGACCGCUUCCCCAGUUUCAUGGAGGCCUUAUCGUGA
This 621-nucleotide ribosomal RNA is filed under the name Triticum aestivum (bread wheat). RNAcentral describes it as "partial small subunit ribosomal RNA". The record is from RNAcentral. Lineage: Eukaryota; Viridiplantae; Streptophyta; Magnoliopsida; Poales; Poaceae.